RNAcentral lists this ribosomal RNA (440 nucleotides) under uncultured bacterium. Its description in RNAcentral is "partial 16S ribosomal RNA". It matches the Rfam family "Bacterial small subunit ribosomal RNA", at positions 338 to 795 of the family's 1533-position model. The record is from RNAcentral.
CCUACGGGGGGCAGCAGUGGGGAAUAUUGCACAAUGGGGGAAACCCUGAUGCAGCGACGCCGCGUGAGUGAAGAAGUAUCUCGGUACGUAAAGCUCUAUCAGCAGGGAAGAAAAUGACGGUACCUGACUAAGAAGCCCCGGCUAACUACGUGCCAGCAGCCGCGGUAAUACGUAGGGGGCAAGCGUUAUCCGGAUUUACUGGGUGUAAAGGGAGCGUAGGCGGGAGUACAAGUCUGGAGUGAAAUCCCGGGGCUUAACCCCGGGACUGCGUUGGAAACUGAGGGGCUGGAGUGGAGGAGGGGUAAGCGGAAUUCCUAGUGUAGCGGUGAAAUGCGUAGAUAUUAGGAGGAACACCGGUGGCGAAGGCGGCUUACUGGACUGUAACUGACGUUGAGGCUCGAAAGCGUGGGGAGCAAACAGGAUUAGAUACCCCAGUAGUC